This 643-nucleotide ribosomal RNA is filed under the name uncultured bacterium. RNAcentral's name for it is "partial 16S ribosomal RNA". The record is from RNAcentral.
UAACUAUCAGGGGUUAUUAUUUUGUUCCCCGAACCCCGGGUAAAUAUCCGGUGAUCCUUCAUGUGCCGGGUUACGGAUAUGGGUUUGACAACGGUAAGCCAUUCCUGAAUAUCAGGGACAAUGUUAUCGAUUUUGCUAUCUGUGUUCGCGGGCAUGGGAUCAGCGCCGAUGUGUUUCAUCCCGGAUUUGGUAUUCCUGGUAUCUGGGGAUAUAAACUUUGCAGCGAAAAGGACAAUGCGUAUCGUUCCAUCUAUAUGGAUUGCGUACGGGCAGUGGAAUUUUUGCUGAGCCGGCCGGAGGUCGAUACAAAUAAAGUAUAUGUGAUGGGUGGGAGCCAGGGAGGGGGAUUAGCAUUGGCAACUGCGGGUCUGUGUCGCGAUAAGAUCAAGGCGUGCGCCUUUUUCGACCCGUUUAUGACAGACACCCGUGAUCAGCUUAAAAUACGUACGGUGUGUAAUACAGAGAUCAAAUCUUAUCUGAAAUACUACAACGAUGAAUGUACUUUUGAGGAUGCCUUAAAAAUACAGGACCUCAUCGACACAAAAGGGUUUGCAGACCGGAUCGAGUGCCCGGUCUUUUUUACAACCGCGCUGUUUGAUGAUGAUUGCCCUCCCCAUAUGGGGUUUGCUGCCUCCCGUAGGAG